GACAAAACUUGUGUGAGAGACAGACAAGCAUAGGCGUCAACUUAAUUUUCAUCAGCACACAUUAUUCCAUCGUCUGCUAUGGCGGCCAGGCAUAAACACGGGCCCCUGUGCCAUACAUAGGGGUUUAUCGUGUAUGUUGAAAUCUACAUCCACUUGGAAUAAACAGAACUUACAACCCUGCA
This is a long non-coding RNA of Haliotis rubra (blacklip abalone), 182 nucleotides long. RefSeq lists it as uncharacterized. The record is from RefSeq and is a predicted model, not a curated record. Lineage: Eukaryota; Metazoa; Mollusca; Gastropoda; Lepetellida; Haliotidae. The transcript is spliced from 3 exons.